This 408-nucleotide ribosomal RNA is filed under the name uncultured bacterium. RNAcentral's name for it is "partial 16S ribosomal RNA". It matches the Rfam family "Bacterial small subunit ribosomal RNA", at positions 28 to 526 of the family's 1533-position model. The record is from RNAcentral.
GACGAACGCUGGCGGCGUGCUUAACACAUGCCAGUCGACCGGAGUGGCGAACGGGGGAGUAACACGAGGGUGAUCUGCCUUGCACUUCGGGAUAAGCAAGGGAAACUGGGUCUAGUACCGGAUAGUGCAGGGUGAGCUCGCGGCCAAUCAGCUGGGUGGUGGGGUAAUGGCCUACCAAGGCGUCGCCGGGUAGCCGGCCUGAGAGGUUGUACGGCCACAUUGGGACUGCGAUACGGCCCAGACUCCUACGGGAGGCAGGAGUGGGGAAUAUUGCACAAUGGGCGGAAGCCUGAUGCAGCGACGCCGCGUGGGGGAUGAAGGCCUUCGGGUUGUAAACUCCUUUCGACAGGGACGCGGUACCUGUAUAAGAAGCACCGGCUAACUACGUGCCAGCAGCCGCGGUAAUAC